This 211-nucleotide unclassified non-coding RNA is filed under the name plant metagenome. RNAcentral's name for it is "partial contains small subunit ribosomal RNA, internal transcribed spacer 1, and 5.8S ribosomal RNA". The record is from RNAcentral.
UUUCCGUAGGUGAACCUGCGGAAGGAUCAUUCAUAAUAAAGUGUUUUAUGGCACUUUUUAAAAAUCCAUAUCCACCUCGUGUGCAAUGUUAGAUCUCGUCAAUCUUGGCGAGAUUUUUAUACAUCAACUCAUUCUUUAACUAAUUUGUCUGAAAAAUAUUAUGAAUACUUAAUUCAAAAUACAACUUUCAACAACGGAUCUCUUGGCUCUC